UGUCGUCAGCUCGUGUCGUGAGAUGUUCGGUUAAGUCCGCUAACGAGCGCAACCCUCGUCGUAUGUUAUAUGUGUCAUACGAGACUGCCGGUAAAAAGCCGGAGGAAGGUGAGGAUGAUGUCAAGUCAGCAUGACCUUUAUAUCCAGGGCUACACACACGCUACAAUGGUCUGUACAAUGGGUAGCCAAGCCGCGAGGCGGAGCCAAUCCUGAAAGCAGGCCUCAGUUCAGAUUGCAGUCUGCAACUCGACUGCAUGAAGCCGGAGUUGCUAGUAACCGCAGGUCAGCAAUACUGCGGUGAAUACGUUCCCGGGUCUU
This 318-nucleotide ribosomal RNA is filed under the name uncultured Anaerolineaceae bacterium. Its description in RNAcentral is "bacterial SSU rRNA". It matches the Rfam family "Bacterial small subunit ribosomal RNA", at positions 1050 to 1382 of the family's 1533-position model. The record is from RNAcentral. Lineage: Bacteria; Bacillati; Chloroflexota; Anaerolineae; Anaerolineales; Anaerolineaceae.